GCUUCCAUCUUUUAUCCUAAUUCGAUUUGCUCGCCUUUAGUGAAAUUCCAGCUUGCACCAGCAACAUUACAUGGAUCCAGCUUCCUUUUAGUCUCACAUAUGAUAUUGUUGGUGGUAUGCUACAUCCGACAAGCGAAGACAAAGAUGGUCUGCUUUGGGUUCUUUACUCCAAAGGACAGUACACUUUCAAAAGCGCAUAUAAUCUGGUUGUCGAAACUAAUCAAGAAAAUUCUCAGACCAUUUGGAAACGUCCAUUUGUCGACGUACUUGAAGAUGGAAGGGUCCUACUAGCAUUGUCUAUUUCCUUUGGUUGGCAUAUCAAUACAGGUUGAAUACUAUGUUGAACACCAUUGGCAUCAUUAGACUGAUAAUGUUGCUUGUAGUGACUGUAAGGCUACAGUGAAAUCAAAUAUAG
This 415-nucleotide long non-coding RNA is filed under the name Linum usitatissimum (flax). Its description in RNAcentral is "long non-coding RNA (LUSI_LNC005996)". Lineage: Eukaryota; Viridiplantae; Streptophyta; Magnoliopsida; Malpighiales; Linaceae. The record is from RNAcentral.